This 348-nucleotide unclassified non-coding RNA is filed under the name soil metagenome. Its description in RNAcentral is "partial contains 5.8S ribosomal RNA, internal transcribed spacer 2, and large subunit ribosomal RNA". The stretch from base 1 to 119 matches the Rfam family "5.8S ribosomal RNA", at positions 35 to 154 of the family's 154-position model. The record is from RNAcentral.
GAUGAAGAACGUAGCGAAAUGCGAUAAGUAAUGCGAAUUGCAGAAUCCGUGAGUCAUCGAAUCUUUGAACGCACAUUGCGCCCUCUGGUAUUCCGGAGGGCAUGCCUGUUCGAGCGUCAUUAUCACCCCUCAAGCCCGGCUUGUUGUUGGAUGAAGCGCUCAUCCCGCUCCUCCCAAAGAUAAUGACGGCGUCUGCGACGACUCCUGUACACUGAGCUUUCGGGCACGUACACGGCUAGAAGUCCAGACCCGGUCGCCGUCCCCCCCACGGGACACCCAUUACCACAAGGUUGACCUCGGAUCAGGUAGGAAUACCCGCUGAACUUAAGCAUAUCAAUAAGCGGAGGA